GACGAACGCUGGCGGCGUGCCUAAUACAUGCAGGUCGAGCGGACCGGAUUGGGGCUUGCCUUGAUUCGGUCAGCGGCGGACGGGUGAGUAACACGUGGGCAACCUGCCCGCAAGACCGGGAUAACUCCGGGAAACCGGAGCUAAUACCGGAUAACACCGAAGACCGCAUGGUCUUCGGUUGAAAGGCGGCCUUUGGGCUGUCACUUGCGGAUGGGCCCGCGGCGCAUUAGCUAGUUGGUGAGGUAACGGCUCACCAAGGCGACGAUGCGUAGCCGGCCUGAGAGGGUGACCGGCCACACUGGGACUGAGACACGGCCCAGACUCCUACGGGAGGCAGCAGUAGGGAAUCUUCCGCAAUGGGCGAAAGCCUGACGGAGCGACGCCGCGUGAGCGAAGAAGGCCUUCGGGUCGUAAAGCUCUGUUGUGAGGGACGAAGGAGCGUCGUUCGAAGAGGGCGGCGCGGUGACGGUACCUCACGAGAAAGCCCCGGCUAACUACGUG
RNAcentral lists this ribosomal RNA (501 nucleotides) under uncultured bacterium. Its description in RNAcentral is "partial 16S ribosomal RNA". It matches the Rfam family "Bacterial small subunit ribosomal RNA", at positions 28 to 507 of the family's 1533-position model. The record is from RNAcentral.